RNAcentral lists this ribosomal RNA (708 nucleotides) under Halopseudomonas xinjiangensis. RNAcentral describes it as "bacterial SSU rRNA". It matches the Rfam family "Bacterial small subunit ribosomal RNA", at positions 80 to 784 of the family's 1533-position model. The record is from RNAcentral. Lineage: Bacteria; Pseudomonadati; Pseudomonadota; Gammaproteobacteria; Pseudomonadales; Pseudomonadaceae.
UUGCUUCCCUUGAGAGCGGCGGACGGGUGAGUAACACCUGGGAAUCUGCCUGGUAGUGGGGGAUAACGUUCCGAAAGGAACGCUAAUACCGCAUACGUCCUACGGGAGAAAGCAGGGGAUCUUCGGACCUUGCGCUAUCAGAUGAGCCCAGGUCGGAUUAGCUAGUAGGUGAGGUAAUGGCUCACCUAGGCGACGAUCCGUAACUGGUCUGAGAGGAUGAUCAGUCACACUGGAACUGAGACACGGUCCAGACUCCUACGGGAGGCAGCAGUGGGGAAUAUUGGACAAUGGGCGCAAGCCUGAUCCAGCCAUGCCGCGUGUGUGAAGAAGGUCUUCGGAUUGUAAAGCACUUUAAGUUGGGAGGAAGGGAAGUAAGUUAAUACCUUGCUUUCUUGACGUUACCGACAGAAUAAGCACCGGCUAACUCUGUGCCAGCAGCCGCGGUAAUACAGAGGGUGCAAGCGUUAAUCGGAAUUACUGGGCGUAAAGCGCGCGUAGGUGGCUAAGUAAGAUGGGUGUGAAAUCCCCGGGCUCAACCUGGGAACUGCAUCCAUAACUGCUUGGCUAGAGUACGGUAGAGGGUAGUGGAAUUUCCUGUGUAGCGGUGAAAUGCGUAGAUAUAGGAAGGAACACCAGUGGCGAAGGCGACUACCUGGACUGAUACUGACACUGAGGUGCGAAAGCGUGGGGAGCAAACAGGAUUAGAUA